Molecule: long non-coding RNA, 1704 nt
Filed under: Homo sapiens (human)
Lineage: Eukaryota; Metazoa; Chordata; Mammalia; Primates; Hominidae
Description: HSALNT0221058
Source: RNAcentral
GGCACACCUGCUAAGAGUUUGUGGCAUAGACUUGGAAGACGACUGAGAACUUUGAAAUCCCUACCCUUUGCAAGGACCAGAGGACACUCACAGUUGCCACAUUUAAACCCAACAGCCCACUAGAACAACAUCAUCUGUGACUAUCUCUCUUGUGCUCCUCGGCUACAAGAUCGUCUUCCUUGAUAGUUUUUAUUGCUUCUGGAAGUAAUUUGCUCUUCAUCAGGUUAUCACAAAUGAAAACCAAGACAGGUCAGAAGAAAGCUGGUUUCUUUGUCAGCAAGAUACUUCCCUUUGCCAGAGCUGAGAGAGAGAGAGAGAGAGAGAGAGAGAAAGAGAGUUGGAAUUAGAAAAAAAAGGUUUCAAGUCCCUUUCUGACAUCUGUGAUCUUUUAACAGAGAUGUAAAGCAUAUGAGAUUUGCAACCUUUCGUGGCCUGAAGGGAUCCAGUUAUUUGGCCAGUUGUGAAGACAUACUCUUGUUCCUACUCGCACUGUCAUGCUGUCAUGGGGGGUGCAUGCCUGUUUCAUGAUAAAAGGAAGCUAAACGGGGUUUUUACAGGAAUUUCAGAAGUCUCAGAAUUAUUGAAGACUCAUACCAGGAUGAAACCCAAGUUCUUCAAACCAAAGUGAAGCAAAUGUGACAUAUUAUAGACAAGAGCAGAGGAGCAGGAAAAAAGAGAAAGAAAUGACAAAGAAGCAGGCGGACAAAAUGAAUAGAAAAAAUGGCAUCUUUUCAUGCAUGUUGGAUGUAACUCCUGGGACAUCAAUUUCUUUCUAUGUGGUUAUACGUUUGUGGUUAUCUGGCAUUUGGACGGGCAGAAUGGAGGGAAGGGGUUUUUAAAAAUAACACACUCUCUUUGGCACAGGACAGUACUAGCAUGAAAGGUUGGUUGUUUCAAAGGACUAAUCCAGGCUGUGGGGCUGUCCUGCAAACACUGAAUCAUGACCUUGCCGGCACCUUGCUGCGGGCAUCAGCAGGAGAAGAUGUGGAGGUUCCAGCAAUGGUAUUUUGUUCCACGUAAGACCAACCACAUUCCCUCACAUCUUACUUCACAUAGUCUAGCACUCCGUGUAGUCCAAUAUGGGCAUCUAAGAAGCAGCAGGCUAAUAAGAGCCCAAAAUGAAGAAAAUCUAAAAAUUAGCCCGACUUAGCCAAUAAAAAGUAGCUCCAGCUAACCCAGCCAGACCUUUAGGAAAGAGCCCAGGAAUGUCUCUCUCCAUCCUUGCCCUGCUCCUCAACCUCCCCUUUGUUCACCAGGCUCCCAACUUCUCUUCUUGCCUCAUACAUACCCGGCCACGGAUGCUGUCUCAUCGGCUGGAUGCACAACACUUCAAUGGAGCAAGGGCUUUCUGUUGUUGUUGUACCUGCCCUCUUGCUCCAUCAACUCCAGAACCCUGGUGAAUUAGGCUUCACUGCCUUGCAGACUUCCUAGUGAGUGCUGGGACAUCCAUUUAUUUGGGAGAGAACAAAAUGCACAGUUGUACGAAGGCAAAGGCUGAACAGUUGGGGAGAGCGACAGUUGGAGAGAAGAGCAUCAGAGGCCUCGUGGUAAACCCAAAUGAGAGCUGCGCUGUGCGGGAGGAUGCCUGGGAGGCACCAACGCCCCUGGAACUUAGAUCUGGACGGCCUUGCAGGCAAAGAUACACAAUCCCCCAAGUUAAAAUGUUGAAGGGCAACAGACCAAAACCAGAACAACACAGUUUCC